This 456-nucleotide ribosomal RNA is filed under the name uncultured Desulfobulbus sp. RNAcentral's name for it is "bacterial SSU rRNA". It matches the Rfam family "Bacterial small subunit ribosomal RNA", at positions 931 to 1382 of the family's 1533-position model. Lineage: Bacteria; Pseudomonadati; Thermodesulfobacteriota; Desulfobulbia; Desulfobulbales; Desulfobulbaceae. The record is from RNAcentral.
GGUGGAGUAUGUGGUUUAAUUCGAUGCAACGCGAAGAACCUUACCUGGUCUUGACAUCCCGGAGACCCUUAGGAAACUAGGGGUGCUUCCAUCUGGAAGAAUCUGGAGACAGGUGCUGCAUGGCUGUCGUCAGCUCGUGUCGUGAGAUGUUGGGUUAAGUCCCGCAACGAGCGCAACCCUUGCCUUUAGUUGCCAGCAGUUCGGCUGGGCACUCUAAAGGGACUGCCGGUGUUAAACCGGAGGAAGGUGGGGAUGACGUCAAGUCCUCAUGGCCUUUAUGACCAGGGCUACACACGUACUACAAUGGCCGAUACAAAGGGCAGCGACACUGCGAGGUGAAGCCAAUCCCGUAAAAUCGGUCUCAGUCCGGAUUGGAGUCUGCAACUCGACUCCAUGAAGUUGGAAUCGCUAGUAAUCGUGGAUCAGCAUGCCACGGUGAAUACGUUCCCGGGCCUU